RNAcentral lists this ribosomal RNA (441 nucleotides) under uncultured bacterium. Its description in RNAcentral is "partial 16S ribosomal RNA". It matches the Rfam family "Bacterial small subunit ribosomal RNA", at positions 338 to 795 of the family's 1533-position model. The record is from RNAcentral.
CCUACGGGUGGCAGCAGUGGGGAAUAUUGCACAAUGGGGGAAACCCUGAUGCAGCGACGCCGCGUGAGUGACGAAGGAUCUCGGUAUGUAAAGCCCUAUCAGCAGGGGAGAAGAUGACAGUACCUGACCAAGAAGCCCCGGCUAACUACGUGCCAGCAGCCGCGGUAUUACGUGGGGGACAAGCGUUAUCCGGAUUUACUGGGUGUAAAGGGAGCGUAGGUGGGGUUGCAAGCCAGAAGUGAAAACCCGGGGCUCAAACCCGCGGAUUGCUUUUGAAACUGUCAGGCUGGAGUGCAGGAGGGGUAGGCGGAAUGCCUGGUGUAGCGGUGAAAUGCGUAGAUAUUAGGAAGAACACCAGUGGCGAAGGCGGAUUACUGGACGAUAACUGACGGUGAGGCGCGAAAGCGUGGGGAGCAAACAGGAUUAGAUACCCCAGUAGUC